Solenopsis invicta (red fire ant) is the source of this 4606-nucleotide long non-coding RNA. RefSeq lists it as uncharacterized. The transcript is spliced from 3 exons. NCBI's taxonomy places the organism in Eukaryota, Metazoa, Arthropoda, Insecta, Hymenoptera, Formicidae. The record is from RefSeq and is a predicted model, not a curated record.
AGUAUCACCGCAGCUUCGUGGCUCCGCUCGUUGCGCAUUGGUUAAGCCAUUAAAAGUAAAUUAAAAAUUCAACGAACUACGUAAUUAUCCAUCGUCGCCGAAUUAUUGUGAAAUAUACGAACCGCAGCUGGUUCGUCGCGUCGCGCGUUUGUUUCGGGAGUGCCGUUAAAUACUUAUUGGACUAAAUAAACAUUAUUUAUAACUCCCAUUCGAUAGAAUCCUAAUUCGAGGUCCGGGAAUCGCACCCCCGCUGCUUGGCAGUGAAUAUUCUCACUGGAACGUUGCGCAUGGUGGGCGUGCGCGCUGCACCGCGACGUUCUAUGCCGAGUGCUCGUGCAUGAGGCAAUGCCGGGCCGCAUGUACGACAUGUUCGUAUGCAUGUUGCGCGGCUGUCAUCUGGUUGUGUGAGGUUUACACGCUCUGUCUCCGGCGAUCGGUUUGGUCCUAAGCGGUUAGAGUUCGGAUCGAUUGCCUUGGAUUCGCGCGUUUCUCUUGCUCUCGUCCACCAUCCUAAGGCUUUCUUAGAUUCUUGAUACCCUUUUUGGAUUCUUUGGAUCUGGGGUUUGAGCUGGGUGAAUUACGUUUAAUCUGACUUGGUCAGAACUUGGCCUUGUAGGUUAAGCUUGUGACGAGAGGCUGGCUCUCAUUUCCUGAUUCGUCUAAAUGCUAGACGUCGGCAAUGAGUAUCUUCUUCUCUCGUCCUGCCGGAGUGUCUUGUCGACGCCGCUUGGAUAUAAGAUCCGGUGGGACUGAUCUUGAUGAUCCGUUGGCUGGGCGUAUGAACAAGUCAAUUUUAGAUGUGAUUUUUGUGAGACAAGAGGCGUAGGAAUUCAAUACCAUUGAUUUCGCUUUCUUCCGCGUGGGACUUACCCUUGUCUGGGGCGGGUACGCGUGCGUUCUACUCGCCGACUCGGGGUGCUGAAUCCACGGUAAUCCCUCUGAAUGGGAACUCAUAUCAUGGAUUUUAUAAACUCGAAGUGUCGCAGUGUCACGCGAAAAACUAUAUAAAUAAUAAGUUCACGCGCGUAAAUUUAGUAUUAUUCGCGAGUGUUCCGCGUGUGCAACAAGAGGACAAUCUUUAGGACACUGAGAGGAGGAGGAGGCCUGGGAGAGGCAUCGGGCCCCAGCGGAGCAACCUUGGGUAUCAUCGUAGCUUCGUGGCUGAGUAACUCCGCUCGUUGCGCAUCGGUCGGUGAGUCAGUAAUGGAUCUUUUCUCAUUAUAUUUGCAUGCUUUUCAAAUGUUCUACGCAAGAUCAAAGCAUAAUAUUAUCGUGCGAUCGUAUCGGUAUUAUCGUGAGUGAGUGAGUGAGUUAAUCCAAGGAAGAGGAGGAAGUCUGGAAGGCAACCUUGGGGUAAGUAAUAUUUGCAACAUGUACAGAAUGUAUAUAUAUAUAAUGUAUCUAGACUAUGAAUAUUGUAUGUUACAGAUAGUUUUAAGAAAUACAUAAUUAUUUUAUAAAUGUUUUAUUUAUAAACAUAAAUUUGACUUACGAUUAAUUCGAUUUACGAUUGAAAUCUCGGAACAUAACCCAGUCGUAGUGCUUCAUUUGUAAGAGUAGCUGUGACCGAGAUAGAGGCAGAGAUAGAAAAAUAGAUAAAAGGUAAUAAUAAUGAAAAAAAUAAUAAUAGUAAUAAAAAUAAUUUUUAUUGUUCCAGGGGUUACUAUUAUGUAUAACAUUUCAAUUUCAUUACAUACCAUAAUAUAAUACAUAAUUUUCUUCAAAACAAUAAAAGACCACGCAAGAUCACAAGAUUAGGGCUAGACCAGGCUAGGCCGUUACAAGAUUGCACUUAUGUUAUAGCUAAACCUCAUUUUACUUAACGCUAAUGCUAUCUAACAUUAUAUACACAUACACACUACUACUCUCUAAAUUCAUUAUCACUCAGCAGCUUCUAAGGUAAAUGCGUGCAUUCUUGCACUCUGUCGCUCACUUCUUUCAUAUGACAGAGAAAUUAUAUUCUUUAUUAUUAUUAAAACAAAGAUAAUAAAAGUAACGUGCAUACAUAAGAUUUGAAAUGUGAAUUGUUCAGAAGAGAAGUAAAUUAGGUACUCCAAAAAUUACUUCUUUUUCUUUUAAAGAGACAAAUUACCUAAUUAUAGGCUGAAGAGAAGAAGGUACGGUGAUGUUUGACAAACAUAUACCUUGAACAUGUAUUCAACUGCAGAAAGUAUGUCAAUUUGGAAAGUAGUGUUACAAUCCGUCGUCGAGGUCAGUGAUCCUUUUCAAGGAUACAGCGAGCAGUCAGAUUCCUUCCCACGGGAUCGCCAGUUACAAUCGAUCCUAAAGGCCGCCGGUCCUGCCGCGCGCACGCUUCCUCUUCCGAUUUCCGAAUGUACGUUGAUUUGUCUGCGUCUUGGGAGUAGCGUGAGCGCAUCGGGCGUCUACUGGGCGAGGUGAUGAAUCAGGCAUCGUUCGUCGUCCACGUCGUAGCCUGCACUCACCCUCGCUCGACAUUAGCCGCGAGACUACUCCAUCAAGCGCGCCAGACGAUACGACUGUUGGUGGCUCGAUCUCUCCCAACCUCUUCGUCCUCCUCGUCCCACGGGAGACCAGUGGUCAUUUCCACCUAUCCGCGUCCCGAACUUACCACAAAAAUGACCGUCUCUCGCCCGGUCUCGCAAGUUGCGCAAGGGCUUCUCUCGAAGCCCGUAAAGAUAAUUAACUGAGUGCUAAAACAAAACGAGCAAUAUAUUACUGAAGGGAAGUAUUGAAAGCGAUAUAGUUUCGUAAAUUUUAAUUUCAAUUCUGUAAACACGCGAGAGUCACUUCUGUUUGUUCAUGCAGAUGAAGAGAUCGACUGCAAUUUAGUUGCAGUUCUGCAUUUUUCAGUGUCUCAUCGAAAAUCAAACUUGCGAAAAUUAUACAACCUUUAUGAAUUAUAGAAAUGUGUAAGUCAAGGACUCGAUAUCGAAUCGAUUCGAAUUGCACCGAAUCGAAUUUCUUUGUUUGAAUUAAAUUGAAUUAACACAAUUUUACCUGAAUCAAAUUGAAUUAAAAAUUUUUUUCAAUUUUUACUGAAAAAUAAGAAUUUGUUGUAAUCUUGAAUUUAUUAGGCACAUAAUUUCUUUCUUAUGUAAUUCUACACUGCAAAUACUAAAUAAAAAAUUACUACAUGAAUCAAAUGAGAGACAGCCCAAUGAAAUAUAUUACUUGUUGUUUCGAAAUUUUUAAAUAGUUUGGAUUCGAAUUAUAGAGAUUCAAAUCUGAAUUGAAUUGAAUCUUAUUGAUUCGAUUUGUAUUUGAAUAGUUCACAUAUCUCUAGUAAAUUACAUAUUUGCAUUAAAAAUAUCUCAAUGAUACUAUAAAUGCUAAAAGGAUUUUCAUUCUUUUCGUAAAUGUUCUUUUUGAUUUUUAACAGUUUCCGAAAGAUUAAAAUAAGUCACGUUUUCGAGGAUUCUCGAUCAAAAAGUAAGAACAGACGAAGGGAGAACCGUCGAUAUAUAUUCUCGUAUUAUGCGACAGGGGUCUGUAAAUAAGAUUCAGCGUACAGCUUCUUUCUCCCUUUCGAUACCUUUGGUAAACACGAAGCGUUGAAACGAGCACGGACACUACGUAAGGUGAAUCCGCACAGAUUCCGAGAAUGUGCAUAUAAUUAAGCGCACCGCGUGUCUUGCCGCGCACUCAUGUGCACAUACAUACACGUACGCGCGCACGUGCAGAACGACGUCUUUGUAUGGCGUGUAAGACGUGCUUACGCGUGCCUUAUAUAGAAUGUAAAUAUAUAUAUGGCUAGUUUCAUUGGGGUGGAACUUUUACUCCUGCGGAUCCUUAAGCGUUUGUUUUCUCUGCCGCACACUGGAUAGAAACAAUAAAAUCAGUGGACCUAGGCUAAAAAACGAGAUCGUGAUUUUAAAACUACGAAAGAUGUAUUGAAAAAUGAUCAAAUCAAAACCUUUAAAGUCCAUUUUGCCAUCAAUGCAGACUAAUUUUGAUCUUGGUUAAUUUACUCUUUAACUUUUUUUUAAUUCUAAAUUCUAGUUCUAAUUAAAAAAGAAAAAGAGUAAGUUAAACCGAGAUCAAAGUUUAUCUGUAUUGAUGGAAAUAGACAUAAAUCGAUUAAUAUAUUUUUAUUGAUACUUUUUUCGUCUCUCAUCAUUAUUUACAUUAAUGUCGUUACGACAUACAGUUUUUCAUCAGCUCAAUUUCAAUGAAACUUGAUAUUCGGGAGAUUUUUGGGGUCUUUGAUUUAAAAUGCAAAAUCCAAAUUUUUAAAUUUUAAAAAUUCAAGAUAACAAUUUCAAACUUCUUUUUUUAAUAAUUGUAGCGUCGGCCAAUUUUUGCACACAAAAGAUGCUCUUCCGCCUACUGUGCGCCAUUUUUUUUUUAUAAGAUUAAUGCACUAAACGCCUCUUUUUCAACUAUCAAUAUUUUAUAAAAAAGAGAAAAAUAGAUGAAAUAGAUUCCUUUAUUUGGUUCUGUUAGGAAUGAUAUAUUAUCAAUCUCUAUAUAAAAGUUUAUCAGAAAUAUAGCACAUCUGCAAAAGAUAUUGCGUAUCCUUUUUUAAAGCAGCAAGUUUUCUUGAAAUUGUUAUUUAAUAAUAAUUAUUCAUAUAUUUUUAAUUGCAAUCAUUUUAUUAAAAAAUAGAUGUACUAAACAGUAAAAU